RNAcentral lists this ribosomal RNA (490 nucleotides) under uncultured bacterium. RNAcentral describes it as "partial 16S ribosomal RNA". It matches the Rfam family "Bacterial small subunit ribosomal RNA", at positions 30 to 507 of the family's 1533-position model. The record is from RNAcentral.
AUUGAACGCUGGCGGCAGGCCUAACACAUGCAAGUCGAACGGUAACAGGAAGCAGCUUGCUGCUUUGCUGACGAGUGGCGGACGGGUGAGUAAUGUCUGGGAAACUGCCUGAUGGAGGGGGAUAACUACUGGAAACGGUAGCUAUUACCGCAUAACGUCGCAAGACCAAAGAGGGGGACCUUCUGGCCUCUUGCCAUCGGAUGUGCCCAGAUGGGAUUAGCUAGUAGGUGGGGUAACGGCUCACCUAGGCGACGAUCCCUAGCUGGUCUGAGAGGAUGACCAGCCACACUGGAACUGAGACACGGUCCAGACUCCUACGGGAGGCAGCAGUGGGGAAUAUUGGACAAUGGGCGCAAGCCUGAUGCAGCCAUGCCGCGUGUAUGAAGAAGGCCUUCGGGUUGUAAAGUACUUUCAGCGGGGAGGAAGGGAGUAAAGUUAAUACCUUUGCUCAUUGACGUUACCCGCAGAAGAAGCACCGGCUAACUCCGUG